This is a long non-coding RNA of Prosopis cineraria, 2670 nucleotides long. RefSeq lists it as uncharacterized. Lineage: Eukaryota; Viridiplantae; Streptophyta; Magnoliopsida; Fabales; Fabaceae. The record is from RefSeq and is a predicted model, not a curated record. The transcript is spliced from 2 exons.
AGCAGAAGCUACAGACACGAGAAAAGGUUGAAGUAAGAAGAACAUUAACAAGACUACUAAAAUCACCAGCCAUACAUUCAGCAUCAUCCUUGGUUGCUACUAUAUCUCAAGAUUAUUCUCUUAUGGUGUUAGUGAAUAUAAAACUAGCUCAAGGCUUCUACUUCUUCAAUGCCACCAAGAUGGGGCUUCCCACUGUCAAUCGUACGCUCCCAUCUUUGGCUACCACCAUGGCUUUUUCUUCUACGGCCACCACCGCCGACAUCAGUACGGCUUCCUAUAGGGAGGAUCUAAGCAAGAAGAUUCGAAAACCAUAUACAGUUACCGAGUCCAGGGAGAGCUAGACGGAGCAGGAGCAUAACAAAUUUCUCAAAGCUCUCAAAUUGUUGGUUUAUCUUUAUCUCCAAUUAAGGUUACUGUGGAAUUACUAUUGCUCUUAUCGAUCACCAUUUUUCGUAACUGAUGCAUUUCAAAUUUUGGCUAAUGCAAGAUUAGAAUUGAUCAUUUCUUCCCCUAUCCCAUUCCUUCCCCCAGUUGUUUACUCUACAAGUAGACUCGAUUGGUUGAUAAUUUUAACCAGUAAAAUAGCUAAUUGCACCCUUAAUCUUUUAGGUUAUUGCAGUAGUUUGUUCUACAAUCUCCGAAAGGGUGAACUCAAGUACUUUUUUGGCUUACAUGUAUGUGCUUUCUUAAUAUGUGAGAUUUGGGUUCUGGCUAAUGCCAGGCUAGGAUUGCCAAAUUUCUCUAAUUUCAUUAUAUUUAUGAGUUUCUCUAUAAUUAAAUGAAAUUUAUAGCUCUUGAUUGGGAAUUUUUUUUACUAGUGAAGUAAUGAGUAAGCAAGUAGGGGACUUAUUAGUAAACAUUUUGGGUUGUGUUGUACUUUCAUAUUUUAGUAAGCUCUUGCUAAUAAACAUGAUGCAUUUGUUGACUUUUGAUUACACCAUUGAAAUUUUUUUAACAAAUAUUAGAACUGGUCCUGAUAUAUAUAAUAGAAAUAACGCCGAAGAACCUUUAAGGAGGACUUGCAACAACAAAUCAUGUAUAAGAUAAGAAUUGAUUGUUAUGUUUCUGCUAUCCCUUUUAGGGAAGAGGCAUGCUUGCUGACUGUUUGUUUUCCAUUUCUGUUUAUGCACAUUCAUCAUAUUUCAGGUGUGCCUCAGGGCUAUAAAUCAUGUUUAAAGUCAGCAACUUUAAUUACGUGAACCCUCUUCACUCUUCGUGUAUCAUUAACAAGGAUAAAAUCCUGCUAAAAAUAAUAAUUAAAUAUCUCAUUCUGUUCACAUAUAAAGGAUCAAGGUGAGCAUCUUACAAUUGCUAGUGUUGGCUAAACUAUUCCUUCUAUAUACUCUUUACCGAAGGAUAAUUCUAACAUUCCUUUAAAAGAUAUAGGACAUGGAAUAUGCUCAUUUGGUUUAAUUUGAAUUCAUGUUUCUGCUACGUUUGACAUCCACCAAUGUCAUGAUAGAUUACUAUCAUUUUGGUUAAACUAUAUAUAAUUACCAUUUGGAAACCUAUACUGGGAUAAGGUUGUCUUCUAUGUUUUGUGUUGCCUCUGUUGCUAAUUGCCUUCUUUUAUUAAGUAUUAUACAAACUUUGGUGCAAGAGUGAUGCUUGCAUCUUGCAUAGUCUAGGAGAAUGAUGAUCUCAUUAUAUUUAUUUUGAUUAACAUUUUUUGCUGCUCUGCUGUUGUGAAUCAUUUUUCCUCCUCUUAUUACUACUUUGAUUAAUCUCAAGGGAUGAAUCACCUUCCUUAAUAACGAAUUUGGUGCAUUUGGUUUCAUAUGUUGUGAUAAUAUUACUUUGUCUUUUAGUCUUUAUUUAGAUACACCCAUAGAUUGGUUGUAUCUCUGGAUUAGCCUUGGGUUUAUUAUAAUUCUCCUUGGUGGAACAUCAUCAAAAAGUAAUCUGCCAAGAGAAAAAUAUGACAAAAGGCCAGAAGAAUGGACAUUGUGUUUAUAGUAUUUAAGUUUAUGCUUAUGUUUAUCUCUUAUUUCUAUAUGCCUUCUUAUCUCAUAUGGUCCUUUUGUUUGAUUACCUUGGUUUGUAAGCGAUGGCAAAGUCAAAUAAAUAAAUUUUUGCUAUCCAAUGUGAUAAUCCAAGAGCAUGGAUCAGACAAGCAGCUAUAUUUUGACAUCCUUACUGUCCAAUGUGAUUGUGCUUCAGUUUUAGGAUACAUGAGUUCUUGAGCAAUAUAUGUAGAGAUAGAGAUACUUGCAGUUGCACAAGGAUUUUCUGUCACUAGCAACUUUCUCUAACACCAUUUCUUAUCUUAUUCUUUAUAUUUGUACUGCAUGGCAUCAAGGGCAAUGGUGAAUAUGGUGGCGCAGCAAUAUGGUGUAUUGGCUUUCAAAAAAUCUAGGGUCAAGGGACAACAAUAUUAGGAGGUGAUUUUGGGUUCCAUUCUCUCAGAGUCAUGAGAUAAGUAAUGGAGGAAAACUAGAUAUUGAUGAGGCUUCAUCAGAUUUCUAAAGAGGCAGCUUUGCAUCAUCUGGUUUUUCAAGAAAUUAUAAUAUUAUGCCUUCAAGAAGUAUAGAUCCAUGAGCCCAACUAGCACUUUGACAUCCUUAUGUGAAGAUGUUGACAUUGUUGAGUGUUUUCUUAUGUUGAAUUUAAGAUUCUAGCCAAUAAACUAAUUAUUAAGUUUUCACAAUUUAACUUAUACUGUUGUUGCAA